Molecule: ribosomal RNA, 306 nt
Filed under: uncultured bacterium
Lineage: Bacteria
Description: bacterial SSU rRNA
Rfam family: Bacterial small subunit ribosomal RNA
Source: RNAcentral
ACCGGCUAACUCCGUGCCAGCAGCCGCGGUAAUACGGGAGGGUGCGAGCGUUAAUCGGAAUUACUGGGGCGUAAAGCGCAUGCAGGCGGCCUGUUAAGUCAGAUGUGAAAGCCCGGGGGCUUAACCUCGGAAUUGCAUUUGAAACUGGCAGGCUAGAGUCUUGUAGAGGGGGGUAGGAAUUUCAGGUGUAGCGGUGAAAUGCGUAGAGAUCUGAAGGAAUACCAGUGGCGAAGGCGGCCCCCUGGACAAAGACUGACGCUCAGAUGCGAAAGCGUGGGGAGCAAACAGGAUUAGAUACCCUGGUAG